AACGAACGCUUGCGGCAUGCUUAAAACAUGCAAGUCGAACGAGAAAGUGGCUUCGGCCAUGAGUACAGUGGCGCACGGGUGAGUAACACGUAAUUAACGUCCCUCCUCGCUGGGGAUAACUUCGGGAACCGAAGCUAAUACCGAAUGAUCUGAAGUGGUCCUUGGACUGUUUUGGUAAAGCCUUCGGGCGCGAGGAGAUCGGGUUGCGGCCUAUUAGCUUGUUGGUGGGGUAAUGGCCUACCAAGGCUACGAUAGGUAGCUGGUCUGAGAGGAUGAUCAGCCACACUGGAACUGAAACACGGUCCAGACUCCCACGGGAGGCAGCAGUUGGGAACAUUGGACAAUGGGGGAAACCCUGAUCCAGCAAUGCCGCGUGAACGAUGAAGGCCCUCGGGUCGUAAAGUUCUUUUAGCAGGGAAGAAGGGAAACUUGACUGUACCUGCAGAAAAAGCACCGGCUAACUCCGUGCCAGCAGCCGCGGUAAUACGGAGGGUGCAAGCGUUGUUCGGAAUUAUUGGGCGUAAAGCGCGUGUAGGCGGCCAUAAAAGUCUGGUGUGAAAGCCCGGGGCUUAACCCCGGAAGUGCACUGGAUACUAUAUGGCUAGAGGGUAAGAGAGGAAAGCGGAAUUCCUGGUGUAGGGGUGAAAUCCGUAGAUAUCAGGAGGAACACCGAUGGCGAAGGCAGCUUUCUGGCUUACAUCUGACGCUGAGACGCGAAAGCGUGGGUAGCAAACAGGAUUAGAUACCCUGGUAGUCCACGCCCUAAACGAUGGAUACUAGAUGUUGGAGCACCUAAUAGCUUCAGUAUCGUAGCUAACGCGUUAAGUAUCCCGCCUGGGAAGUACGGUCGCAAGAUUAAAACUCAAAGGAAUUGACGGGGGCCCGCACAAGCGGUGGAGCAUGUGGUUUAAUUCGAUGCUACGCGAAAAACCUUACCUAGACUUGACAUCCUGUGCUACCCUGUGAAAGCAGGGGUUCCCGCAAGGGACGCAGAGACAGGUGCUGCAUGGCUGUCGUCAGCUCGUGUUGUGAGAUGUUGGGUUAAGUCCGGUAACGAGCGCAACCCCUGCUGUAUGUUACAUGUGUCAUACGGGACUGCCGGUAUCAAGCCGGAGGAAGGUGGGGAUGACGUCAAGUCAGCAUGGCCUUUAUAUCCAGGGCUACACACACGCUACAAUGGUCGGUACAACGGGUUGCAAGACCGCAAGGUGGAGCCAAUCCUCAAAAUCGGCCUCAGUUCAGAUUGCAGGCUGCAACUCGCCUGCAUGAAGUCGGAGUUGCUAGUAACCGCGCGUCAGCAUUAGUGCGGUGAAUACGUUCCCGGGCGUUGUACACACCGCCCGUCACGUCAUGGAAGCUGAUAACACCUGAAGUCGGUAUCCUAACCGCAAGGAGGGAGCCGCCCAAGGUGGAAUUGGUAACUGGGACG
RNAcentral lists this ribosomal RNA (1429 nucleotides) under uncultured bacterium. RNAcentral's name for it is "partial 16S ribosomal RNA". It matches the Rfam family "Bacterial small subunit ribosomal RNA". The record is from RNAcentral.